CUACCAUGCUCCCUCACGGUUCCCACAAUCCCCAGCACAGUAUGAUGUAUGGAUGUAUCAGUAUACUGUGCUGGGGAUUGUGGGAACCGCGAGGGAGCAUGGUAG
Pelobates cultripes (western spadefoot toad) is the source of this 105-nucleotide non-coding RNA. Lineage: Eukaryota; Metazoa; Chordata; Amphibia; Anura; Pelobatidae. The record is from the annotation of a GenBank genome assembly.